GGCCUGGCUGUGGCUCUCUCGAGUCCGCCCCGCGGGCCUGGCUCCUCCAUGAGCUGGGAAAAGGGGAAGUGCCUGCCGCAAGGAGGGGCCUGGCCCCGCUACCUCAGAAGAGGGAAUUUUAUUCUUACUCAUCGAAUUAUUUUUAUGCUUUGGUUUUUCACUUGGAACCUCAGGCCGCUGUCUCCAGGACAGUAACCCUUUGAGGUCCGAUACAUGUUUCUCGCCCCUGUGCCCUGGAAUUUCAAGCCUGGCCACCGUGGGCUCUGUUCUCUUAACCCGACACACGCUGGGCCUGGACUCUUUCUUAGACUACCGGAGCAGUUACUGGCAAUCAUUACUGUAGUGCUCUGAUCUGGUGUAUCUUGACUGAAACCCACUGUGUGCCACCCGGUAACACUACCAGCGCCUUUCAAAUGCUUCCUGUCUGGCUUUCCCCACCAGCCCCAUAUGUCUCCCAGGAUGUGCUUCUGAGUCCUUACGGAAGUUCUGAAACAGAAUGCCCAGUAGAUUCGUUGCCAGGAGGAGAUGUUUAGCGAUGCCACGCUGAGACUUUAAAGAGGUCUUCCUCCCUGUAUGCAAAUCAUGCCAUCUUAUGCAAAAUACCUCACACUAUGCAAAUGAUCUCACAAUUACACUGUCAGCAUUCCUGUCUCUAGAGGUCUAGGGGCUCCUGGCCACCCAGGACAGGACCAGCAAGACUCAGCUAGAAAUACUUCUUGCUGUGUACUUUCCUCCCUCCUGGCCUGGAAUUUCCAGCAUCAGAACAUACUGAAUUAAAGAAGCAAGCAUGGAGACAGAAACAUGAGCAGGGCCAUCAGGUGAGAAGAUCCAUUGUUGGAAACACUGGCUUUGAUACGGAACUUUAAAAAGUUGAUCUUGGAA
This is a non-coding RNA of Peromyscus maniculatus bairdii (prairie deer mouse), 882 nucleotides long. Lineage: Eukaryota; Metazoa; Chordata; Mammalia; Rodentia; Cricetidae. The record is from RefSeq and is a predicted model, not a curated record.